AGGAGUGCCGCACAGAGUGUGCAACAUUCCGUCCGGUCGGAUCUGCUCCUUCACCGCACUGAGUCCGAAAUCCGAUAUCUUCAGGUCCCAAUUUUCGUCGAGCAAGAGGUUCUCGAGCUUCAAAUCUCGAUGGAAGACUCCUCUGGAGUGACAAUACUCAACGGCUGAGAUUAGCUGCUGAAAGUACCGACGGCUGAGCUGCUCGCUGAAACGUCCCUUCGAGAUCUUGGCGAAGAGCUCGCCGCCCUUUGCGAACUCCAUCACGAAAUAGAUCUUGGCCUUGGUGGCCAGGACCUCGUACAGCUUCACGAUGUUAGGGUGGCGCAGCCGGCUCAUGAUAGAGAUCU
RNAcentral lists this long non-coding RNA (347 nucleotides) under Citrus sinensis (sweet orange). Its description in RNAcentral is "long non-coding RNA (CSIN_LNC002609)". Lineage: Eukaryota; Viridiplantae; Streptophyta; Magnoliopsida; Sapindales; Rutaceae. The record is from RNAcentral.